Molecule: ribosomal RNA, 1397 nt
Filed under: uncultured Bacteroidales bacterium
Lineage: Bacteria; Pseudomonadati; Bacteroidota; Bacteroidia; Bacteroidales
Description: 16S ribosomal RNA
Rfam family: Bacterial small subunit ribosomal RNA
Source: RNAcentral
AGAGUUUGAUCAUGGCUCAGGAUGAACGCUAGCGGCAGGCUUAACACAUGCAAGUCGAGGGGCAUCGGGAGGGAAGCUUGCUUUCCUUGCCGGCGACCGGCGCACGGGUGAGUAACACGUAUGCAACCUGCCCUCUUCAGGGGGACAACCUUCCGAAAGGGAGGCUAAUCCCGCGUAUAUCGGUUUCGGGCAUCCGAGAUCGAGGAAAGAUUCAUCGGAAGAGGAUGGGCAUGCGGCGCAUUAGCUAGACGGCGGGGUAACGGCCCACCGUGGCGACGAUGCGUAGGGGUUCUGAGAGGAAGGUCCCCCACACUGGUACUGAGACACGGACCAGACUCCUACGGGAGGCAGCAGUGAGGAAUAUUGGUCAAUGGGAGAGAUCCUGAACCAGCCAAGCCGCGUGAGGGAAGACGGCCCUAUGGGUUGUAAACCUCUUUUGUCGGAGAACAAAACCCGGGACGUGUCCCGGACUGCGUGUAUCCGAAGAAAAAGCAUCGGCUAACUCCGUGCCAGCAGCCGCGGUAAUACGGAGGAUGCGAGCGUUAUCCGGAUUUAUUGGGUUUAAAGGGUGCGUAGGCGGUCCGUUAAGUCAGCGGUAAAAUUGCGGGGCUCAACCCCGUCGAGCCGUUGAAACUGGCAGACUUGAGUUGGCGAGAAGUACGCGGAAUGCGCGGUGUAGCGGUGAAAUGCAUAGAUAUCGCGCAGAACUCCGAUUGCGAAGGCAGCGUACCGGCGCCAGACUGACGCUGAGGCACGAAAGCGUGGGGAUCGAACAGGAUUAGAUACCCUGGUAGUCCACGCAGUAAACGAUGAAUGCUGGUUGUCCGGGUCGAAUGAGAUCUGGGCGGCGAAGCGAAAGCGAUAAGCAUUCCACCUGGGGAGUACGCCGGCAACGGUGAAACUCAAAGGAAUUGACGGGGGCCCGCACAAGCGGAGGAACAUGUGGUUUAAUUCGAUGAUACGCGAGGAACCUUACCCGGGCUCAAACGGGAGUGGAAUGGACCAGAGACGGUUCAGCCUACGGGCCGCUUCCGAGGUGCUGCAUGGUUGUCGUCAGCUCGUGCCGUGAGGUGUCGGCUUAAGUGCCAUAACGAGCGCAACCCCCGCCGGCAGUUGCUAACGGGCAAUGCCGAGGACUCUGCCGGGACUGCCGCCGCAAGGCGUGAGGAAGGCGGGGAUGACGUCAAAUCAGCACGGCCCUUACGUCCGGGGCGACACACGUGUUACAAUGGGCGGUACAGCGGGAAGCCAGGCGGCGACGCCGAGCGGAACCCGAAAGCCGUUCUCAGUUCGGAUCGGAGUCUGCAACCCGACUCCGUGAAGCUGGAUUCGCUAGUAAUCGCGCAUCAGCCAUGGCGCGGUGAAUACGUUCCCGGGCCUUGCACACACCGCCCGUC